CAAAAUCAAAAUUUAGAAUAUGACCUUGACCUUUGACCUUGACCUCAUUUUUAUUAUUUUCGACCAAGGACCCCAAAUCUAAAGACCCUAUGUCUUUAUCACUUAUGGUUUACCAUUUAGAAAUGCAUAUCACUUAAUUUAAGGGAAAAGGGGGAAUAACUCUCAUAUGGAGUCUCCGUAAAGCUUCGGUCCAAAUGAAUAUCCUAAUCCUGAAGAUGUAACAAGCAAUUUGGUAAAAUAAAUUUGUCGUAAUCUCUAACGGUUGCGAAGGAGUAGUGGCCACAAG
This 286-nucleotide long non-coding RNA is filed under the name Mytilus galloprovincialis (Mediterranean mussel). The record is from RNAcentral. Lineage: Eukaryota; Metazoa; Mollusca; Bivalvia; Mytilida; Mytilidae.